Molecule: long non-coding RNA, 562 nt
Organism: Phyllopteryx taeniolatus (common seadragon)
Lineage: Eukaryota; Metazoa; Chordata; Actinopteri; Syngnathiformes; Syngnathidae
Exons: 4
Source: RefSeq, a predicted model, not a curated record
CGGCUGAGGUCAGCGGCGGCUGAGGGGUUGACGUCAUCUCAAUUUUUUCAACGUGACUCAGUAUGAUGAGACAUUUGUUUCCUUUUACCGACACCUUCCUCAUUCUCAUUUUUUGUUCAGUUUUUCGGCGUCAGACACGUACUCAGCAUUAGAAGAUAGAAUCUUUUGUUUGAACCUGUCAUUUCAUGCAAGCAAAGGAAUUGGAUCAUGUUACUGACAGACUGCUUUCAUAAUAGUUAAGAGGUGUAACCAACAUGAAACCAGAGACCCAUCUAUUGGUGAAAAAUUAAGAAAACUGCACAUGCCCCGCUAAGAUGGUUGAAGAUCCAGAAUCACUUGCAAGCGACGGCUGGACUACACUGUCUGAAACACUUCCAUGCAGAAGAACUACAGUAUUAUGCAGAAACACCUACAUCUGACACAGGAGCCUUGGGACUUACCAUCGAUGUUGAGCAUCAUCUUCCACAUGGCGGGUCUCACCGACUGGUGGAAGCCGAACCACACCUCCCGGCCGCCCCCCAGAGGGUGGUAGUAGCCCUCGGGCGGAGAGAAGAACGAGCGA